UACGGAGGGUGCGAGCGUUGUCCGGAAUCACUGGGCGUAAAGGGCGCGUAGGCGGCUCAUGAAGGCUGCGGUGAAAGUCCGGGGCUCAACCUCGGAUCGGCCGUGGCGACUCGUGGGCUGGAGCACUGUAGAGGCGGGUGGAAUUCCGGGUGUAGCGGUGGAAUGCGUAGAGAUCCGGAAGAACACCAGUGGCGAAGGCGGCCCGCUGGGCAGUGGCUGACGCUGAAGCGCGACAGCGUGGGGAGCAAACAGG
This 253-nucleotide ribosomal RNA is filed under the name uncultured bacterium. RNAcentral's name for it is "partial 16S ribosomal RNA". It matches the Rfam family "Bacterial small subunit ribosomal RNA", at positions 524 to 776 of the family's 1533-position model. The record is from RNAcentral.